Lolium perenne is the source of this 1571-nucleotide long non-coding RNA. RefSeq lists it as uncharacterized. The record is from RefSeq and is a predicted model, not a curated record. Lineage: Eukaryota; Viridiplantae; Streptophyta; Magnoliopsida; Poales; Poaceae.
AUUUCCACCCACCCCGCACGUCUCUCACCCACCCUUGCACAUUUCUCUCUCUUCUCCCCCCACACACGCACGGCCGCACCGAUCCCCACCACUGGUCGUCCCUCCCCGCCGGCCGUCGGUGUCCCCCUUCAUGGCGCGCUUACCACCUUCGUCCCUACACGCCACUCCCACCGGCAGGUCCCUCUCCCGGCCUUUCCCACGCCCCCACAUCAUCCCACCACUACCACCACACCAUGAUUCCCAACCUCCAUGGCUCCACCAAGCUCCCGCGCCAGGUCGUCGACCACCGCAUGCCCAGCCGGAUCCCCGUACCCCAACCCAGCUCCCCACGGCCGCCUCACCUAAUUCCCCCACCGAACCGCGAGAUAGAGGCGAGUCCGCGGGUGGUGAUGGACUUCUGCACGGGUGCCAGGAGUCCUCGUGAAGAUCCGGCGGCGACCGCCGGACGAGCCGCUUGCUCUGUGCAGUGGAGAGGCCGGGGUCCUUAACACCCUCCUUGUUUAUGGAGGGCGGCCGGGGGCGCUCGCCCAUGUCUUUUGCUGUUGGCCUCUACUCGUAAAAAAAUUGCAGAAGCCAGAUCCGAUCUUACUUCUUUUCCCCUGAGUCUCUUGAUUUUUUUAAAUCAUGAUUUACCAAGUUCUAGGAUCCACAAGGAUUUCUUUUGUACGAGUCCAUCCAGAUACGUUUUUUAGGUUCUUGAUUUUCUUUGUUGGAUUGAAGAUUCAUCCCACCGCGCACGGUGGUUCUUCCUGGCCGUGCGCAAUUCCUCCAGCUGCCGGCCUGGCGUACUUCUUCCCGUCGUUCGGCCGCCCUCGCUCCUCUAUCGCUGCCGCCUGGAUUUCUUUUGAUUUCAUUUUUUGUUCAACUCGAUCCAGUCUGGCUCCCCUAUCCCCUGUCCCGGCAGUCUUCCCCUGCACUGCGUCGAUCCGGCAGAGCCCGUGGGUCCGGCCGCAGCCUUCCCCUCCUCCGGCCGGAGUCGAAGAAGAUCGGGGAGCUCCCCGCACUCCCCUGCAUCUCGCAGAGCUGGAGGCAGGCUAGCACGCCCAAAAUACCGCGCCACGGCCACCGUGGACGGUUGCCUCUCCCCGCGCCAUGGCCACCAGUGAUCCAUCCUGCAGCUCGGACGGAAGGAUGGUGGUCGACGGUCGUGAGGCAGGAGCCGGGCUGGCGGUAGUCGACCUUGUGCUCCAUCCGGAGAGGCGGCGCACGACUCCAGCAGGAGGCCAUGCUCGUCGCCGGCCGCUCCCGUGUCCACCUCGCCGACGAGGACAACUCCAGCACUCCCGAAGCUCCUCUGCCGCCACCCAGGCCGUGCUCUAUCGUUCUCUUACGCCGUCGACAGAGACGCGCGGCCUAGCUCUGCUCUCUCUCUGUCUAUCCCCGCAUGGACAGUGGCAAUCAGCUUCGUAAUCAUUUGAGAUCUGAAUUUGUUUCACCUUUUUUUUCCAGAAUGAAUCAGAUCCAUUUUGUGCACGGUGUGUUCCUGAUCCCGAUCUAUUUUGUUAAUCUGUGGGAUUUUCUGGUGUAAAUGAGUUCCCAACUCAGAGGAAGUGGUUGCCUUUCCGUUUGAA